AAGUCGUAACAAGGUCUCCGUAGGUGAACCUGCGGAGGGAUCAUCAAAGAAAAUAAUAAUAUUUUAAACCCCAAGUGUUAGGAAAGGAAGGAAAAAGAGCAUUGCUAAUUUUCCUUCUUUUUCUAAUGCUUCAAACAAACGAUCACAACUAAAGAGAGGAUAUCAUGGUUUUUUUUUUCGAGGGGAAUAAUAAGUGCUUGCCUGAUAAUCUGAUUAUUGGAAUUGGAAAGAGAAUAAAAUAUACAACUUUCAACAACGGAUCUCUUGGCUCUCA
RNAcentral lists this unclassified non-coding RNA (274 nucleotides) under fungal sp. Its description in RNAcentral is "partial internal transcribed spacer region". The stretch from base 1 to 46 matches the Rfam family "Eukaryotic small subunit ribosomal RNA", at positions 1786 to 1831 of the family's 1831-position model. The record is from RNAcentral. Lineage: Eukaryota; Fungi.